UCGUGCCCAAACGCCAAGUGCUUGACGACGACGAUGGUCUAUAUGAAAGCUCGAAAGGUCGAUCUCCCGAGAAGGCUUUGGAAGAGAUACGUAAGCAAGACACUCAUGAUCUCUAUUGCCCUAAGUGUACUAGUAACAUCACUAAAACAGCUCUAAUCGUUGAAAAGGGAGAUGAUUUUUCUCCCGACGACCAGAAACCUUUCGUGCUCUGGAUCCCUACCUUCAAGUUCCUUUCAAGUUCUCCCAAAGGAUCUGUCGAAAGUAAACCAUUGAAUCCUAAUCUCAGUGGACCAGACGAAGAAAACUCAUCUCAACCUGAAUCCAGUGAACCAGUCGACAAAAACUCAUCGUUUAAUCGUAGUCUCAGCAGUUUAGGUAUACAUUUCCUUAUGAUGAUGAACAAAAACUCUAUUAAAAAAAAUUCCCUUUGUCGUCCUUCAUCUUCAAUGACACAAUUGCCAUAUAUAUAUAUAUAGCUAAAACCUUGGAACGAUUGCCUACUCUUUUACGGAAUUCAAUAAUUAUUCGUAGAGACGAAAAUAGUGCUACUCCUCUACACCAAGAUGGUGCAGGUCAUCAAAGUUCUACGAGCACAUCAGUGUCUGAGCAACGUGGACGUUGGAAAAUUAGUCCCGGUGGAUGGAUAAUUCAUCGUUAAACGCCCAGCAAAUAGACAACGAAUUGACUAUCCUCUCUUCUUACCCCCUAAAAUGAACGAGUUUUUUGUUUGAUUGAAACCCAUAGUAAGUGAUUGAUGAUAGUGUAAUGAUCAUUUUGUACUGAGUUUAAAGCAUAGAAAUCAU
RNAcentral lists this small RNA (803 nucleotides) under Arabidopsis thaliana (thale cress). RNAcentral describes it as "putative long intergenic non-coding RNA". Lineage: Eukaryota; Viridiplantae; Streptophyta; Magnoliopsida; Brassicales; Brassicaceae. The record is from RNAcentral.